Molecule: ribosomal RNA, 1367 nt
Filed under: uncultured bacterium
Lineage: Bacteria
Description: 16S ribosomal RNA
Rfam family: Bacterial small subunit ribosomal RNA
Source: RNAcentral
AGAGUUUGAUCCUGGCUCAGGAUGAACGCUGGCGGCGUGCCUAACACAUGCAAGUCGAGCGAUUCUCUUCGGAGAAAAGCGGCGGACGGGUGAAUAACACAGUGGGAUAACGCUGCCACUGGUACACACGGCAUAACAUACCGAAAGGUAUGCUAAUACGAAAUAAUAUGCUUUUAUCGCAUGGUAAAAGUAUCAAAGCUUUUGCGGUACAGGAUGGACCCGCGUCUGAUUAUCUAGUUGGUAUGGUAACGGCUUACCAAGGCGACGAUCAGUAGCCGACCUGAGAGGGUGAUCGGCCACAUUGGAACUGAGACAAGGUCCAAACUCCUACGGGAGGCAGCAAUGGGGAAUAUAGCACAAUGGGCGAAAGCCUGAUGCAACAACGCCGCGUGAGCGAUGAACGCCUUCGGGUCGUAAAGCUCUGUGCUCAAGGAAGAUAAUGACGGUACUUGAGGAGGAAGCCCCGGCUACCUACGUGCCAUCAUCCGCGGUAAUACGUAAGGGGCUAGCGUUAUCCGGAAUUACUGGGCGUAAAGGGUGCGUAGGUGGUAUCUUAAGUCAGAGGUGAGAGGCUACGGCUCAACCGUAGUAAGCCUUUGAAACUGUGAAACUUGAGUGCAGGAUAGGAGAGUGGAAUCCUACUGUAGCGGUGAAAUGCGUAGAUAUUAGGAGGAACACCAGUUGCGAAGGCGGCUCUCUGGACUGUAACUGACACUGAAGCACGAAAGCGUGGGGAGCAAACAGGAUUAGAUACCCUGGUAGUCCACGCCGUAAACGAUGAGUAAUAGCUGUCGGAGGUUACCCCCUUCGGUGGCGCAGAUAACGCAUUAAGUACUCCGCAUGGGAAGUACGCUCGCAAGAGUGAGACUCUAAGGAAUUGACGGGGACCCGCACAAGUAGCGGAGCAUGUGGUUUAAUUCGAAGCAACGCGAAGAACCUCACAUAAGCUUGACAUCCUUUUGACCGAUGCCUAAUCGCAUUUUUCCCUUCGGGGACAGAAGUGACAGGUGGUGCAUGGUUGUCGUCAGCUCGUGUCGUGAGAUGUUGGGUUAAGUCCCGCAACGAGCGCAACCCUUGCCUUUAGUUGCCAGCAAUAAGUUGGGCACUCUAGAGGGACUGCCAGGGAUAACCUGGAGGAAGGUGGGGAUGACGUCAAAUCAUCAUGCCCCUUAUGCUUAGGGCUACACACGUGCUACAAUGGGUGGUACAGAGGGCAGCCAAGUCGUGAGGCGGAGCUAAUCCCUUAAAGCCAUUCUCAGUUCGGAUUGUAGGCUGCAACUCGCCUACAUGAAGUUGGAGUUACUAGUAAUCGCAGAUCAGCAUGCUGCGGUGAAUGCAUUCCCGGGUCCUNUGUACACACCGCCCGU